This 2917-nucleotide ribosomal RNA is filed under the name Escherichia coli. Its description in RNAcentral is "partial 23S ribosomal RNA". It matches the Rfam family "Bacterial large subunit ribosomal RNA". The record is from RNAcentral. Lineage: Bacteria; Pseudomonadati; Pseudomonadota; Gammaproteobacteria; Enterobacterales; Enterobacteriaceae.
GUUAAGCGACUAAGCGUACACGGUGGAUGCCCUGGCAGUCAGAGGCGAUGAAGGACGUGCUAAUCUGCGAUAAGCGUCGGUAAGGUGAUAUGAACCGUUAUAACCGGCGAUUUCCGAAUGGGGAAACCCAGUGUGUUUCGACACACUAUCAUUAACUGAAUCCAUAGGUUAAUGAGGCGAACCGGGGGAACUGAAACAUCUAAGUACCCCGAGGAAAAGAAAUCAACCGAGAUUCCCCCAGUAGCGGCGAGCGAACGGGGAGCAGCCCAGAGCCUGAAUCAGUGUGUGUGUUAGUGGAAGCGUCUGGAAAGGCGCGCGAUACAGGGUGACAGCCCCGUACACAAAAAUGCACAUGCUGUGAGCUCGAUGAGUAGGGCGGGACACGUGGUAUCCUGUCUGAAUAUGGGGGGACCAUCCUCCAAGGCUAAAUACUCCUGACUGACCGAUAGUGAACCAGUACCGUGAGGGAAAGGCGAAAAGAACCCCGGCGAGGGGAGUGAAAAAGAACCUGAAACCGUGUACGUACAAGCAGUGGGAGCACGCUUAGGCGUGUGACUGCGUACCUUUUGUAUAAUGGGUCAGCGACUUAUAUUCUGUAGCAAGGUUAACCGAAUAGGGGAGCCGAAGGGAAACCGAGUCUUAACUGGGCGUUAAGUUGCAGGGUAUAGACCCGAAACCCGGUGAUCUAGCCAUGGGCAGGUUGAAGGUUGGGUAACACUAACUGGAGGACCGAACCGACUAAUGUUGAAAAAUUAGCGGAUGACUUGUGGCUGGGGGUGAAAGGCCAAUCAAACCGGGAGAUAGCUGGUUCUCCCCGAAAGCUAUUUAGGUAGCGCCUCGUGAAUUCAUCUCCGGGGGUAGAGCACUGUUUCGGCAAGGGGGUCAUCCCGACUUACCAACCCGAUGCAAACUGCGAAUACCGGAGAAUGUUAUCACGGGAGACACACGGCGGGUGCUAACGUCCGUCGUGAAGAGGGAAACAACCCAGACCGCCAGCUAAGGUCCCAAAGUCAUGGUUAAGUGGGAAACGAUGUGGGAAGGCCCAGACAGCCAGGAUGUUGGCUUAGAAGCAGCCAUCAUUUAAAGAAAGCGUAAUAGCUCACUGGUCGAGUCGGCCUGCGCGGAAGAUGUAACGGGGCUAAACCAUGCACCGAAGCUGCGGCAGCGACGCUUAUGCGUUGUUGGGUAGGGGAGCGUUCUGUAAGCCUGUGAAGGUGUGCUGUGAGGCAUGCUGGAGGUAUCAGAAGUGCGAAUGCUGACAUAAGUAACGAUAAAGCGGGUGAAAAGCCCGCUCGCCGGAAGACCAAGGGUUCCUGUCCAACGUUAAUCGGGGCAGGGUGAGUCGACCCCUAAGGCGAGGCCGAAAGGCGUAGUCGAUGGGAAACAGGUUAAUAUUCCUGUACUUGGUGUUACUGCGAAGGGGGGACGGAGAAGGCUAUGUUGGCCGGGCGACGGUUGUCCCGGUUUAAGCGUGUAGGCUGGUUUUCCAGGCAAAUCCGGAAAAUCAAGGCUGAGGCGUGAUGACGAGGCACUACGGUGCUGAAGCAACAAAUGCCCUGCUUCCAGGAAAAGCCUCUAAGCAUCAGGUAACAUCAAAUCGUACCCCAAACCGACACAGGUGGUCAGGUAGAGAAUACCAAGGCGCUUGAGAGAACUCGGGUGAAGGAACUAGGCAAAAUGGUGCCGUAACUUCGGGAGAAGGCACGCUGAUAUGUAGGUGAAGUCCCUCGCGGAUGGAGCUGAAAUCAGUCGAAGAUACCAGCUGGCUGCAACUGUUUAUUAAAAACACAGCACUGUGCAAACACGAAAGUGGACGUAUACGGUGUGACGCCUGCCCGGUGCCGGAAGGUUAAUUGAUGGGGUUAGCGGUAACGCGAAGCUCUUGAUCGAAGCCCCGGUAAACGGCGGCCGUAACUAUAACGGUCCUAAGGUAGCGAAAUUCCUUGUCGGGUAAGUUCCGACCUGCACGAAUGGCGUAAUGAUGGCCAGGCUGUCUCCACCCGAGACUCAGUGAAAUUGAACUCGCUGUGAAGAUGCAGUGUACCCGCGGCAAGACGGAAAGACCCCGUGAACCUUUACUAUAGCUUGACACUGAACAUUGAGCCUUGAUGUGUAGGAUAGGUGGGAGGCUUUGAAGUGUGGACGCCAGUCUGCAUGGAGCCGACCUUGAAAUACCACCCUUUAAUGUUUGAUGUUCUAACGUUGACCCGUAAUCCGGGUUGCGGACAGUGUCUGGUGGGUAGUUUGACUGGGGCGGUCUCCUCCUAAAGAGUAACGGAGGAGCACGAAGGUUGGCUAAUCCUGGUCGGACAUCAGGAGGUUAGUGCAAUGGCAUAAGCCAGCUUGACUGCGAGCGUGACGGCGCGAGCAGGUGCGAAAGCAGGUCAUAGUGAUCCGGUGGUUCUGAAUGGAAGGGCCAUCGCUCAACGGAUAAAAGGUACUCCGGGGAUAACAGGCUGAUACCGCCCAAGAGUUCAUAUCGACGGCGGUGUUUGGCACCUCGAUGUCGGCUCAUCACAUCCUGGGGCUGAAGUAGGUCCCAAGGGUAUGGCUGUUCGCCAUUUAAAGUGGUACGCGAGCUGGGUUUAGAACGUCGUGAGACAGUUCGGUCCCUAUCUGCCGUGGGCGCUGGAGAACUGAGGGGGGCUGCUCCUAGUACGAGAGGACCGGAGUGGACGCAUCACUGGUGUUCGGGUUGUCAUGCCAAUGGCACUGCCCGGUAGCUAAAUGCGGAAGAGAUAAGUGCUGAAAGCAUCUAAGCACGAAACUUGCCCCGAGAUGAGUUCUCCCUGACCCUUUAAGGGUCCUGAAGGAACGUUGAAGACGACGACGUUGAUAGGCCGGGUGUGUAAGCGCAGCGAUGCGUUGAGCUAACCGGUACUAAUGAACCGUGAGGCUUAACCUUACAACGCCGAAG